AGGGACUGCCGGCGACAAGCCGGGAGGAAGGGUGGGGAUGACGUCAAGUCAUCAUCGGCCCUUAUGUCCGAGGGCGACACACGUGCUACAAUGGCCGGCACAGCGGGAAGCGGAGGGGCGACCCUGAGCGGAUCCCUUGAAAGCCGGUCCCAGUUCGGAUUGCAGUCUGCAACUCGACUGCAUGAAGUUGGAAUCGCUAGUAAUCGCGGAUCAGCCAAGCCGCGGUGAAUACGUUCCCGGGCCUU
This 245-nucleotide ribosomal RNA is filed under the name uncultured Thermovirga sp. RNAcentral describes it as "partial 16S ribosomal RNA". It matches the Rfam family "Bacterial small subunit ribosomal RNA", at positions 1144 to 1382 of the family's 1533-position model. The record is from RNAcentral. Lineage: Bacteria; Thermotogati; Synergistota; Synergistia; Synergistales; Thermovirgaceae.